UACAAUUUUUUUCUGUAUUCUAAUUUUUUGCCACUCCGAAACUAUGAAGAGCACAAUAUGACUUACAUUAAAGGGCAUUGGAGAGCGUGCCUACGUUUUCCUAUGGGCGGACAACAAUCCCGUUGAGUUUCCAAGCACCCUGCUCAGCCGCCAUAUUGUUCGGACAGGAAAGUAGCGUGCGACCUUUUUGAUUUCGAUGCUGUGGUCGCCAAGGUAUCUCCUUGGACGCCUCCAUGAGAAUUGGAAGGAGAAUUAAGGUGACCGCUGUCCACUAAACCGUCUAGUUUGCCCCUGUAUGGCUAGUAGUGGAACACAGCCAAGGAGGAAUGGCAUGUACGGUGCUUUUUUACUUAAAUAUGGUAAUGCCCCCCCCCCCCCCCCAAACCCUUUCCGACAGUUGAUAGGAGCGUCAUGCUCUAUAGGAAACAAGAACAACGGUAAUGUGACGUGUAUGCACAGGGAAGUAAGAUAGAUGCAACUGAUGCUUGCAUCAUAUGCGAUGAGACAGGAGUUGGCAUAUUCUCUGCACACUUUGGCUGGCCUUUGGAGCUUCGACUUCCAGAUUUGACACCUAUUUUUCAUGCCGCAUAAUUGGCUAACAUUCUAGCCUUGCCGAAGUUACCAUAAUAUCUACCAGCAUCCACUGUUUUACGAUUUGCUAUUGGUGUACUCGGCGCUUACAGGGAGAACAGACUCGAUUAUAUUGCUGACAUGUCAAUGUUUAGUCCACCAUUGAAACUAAUUUGGGCACCCGGUCACUGUUUAUUAUAUUUCACUGAAAUGCCGGACUCUAUUGCCAGAGCCUCCGGAGUUUCUGUUUUGCUGAUUACGGCUUGCAUUGCCUAAGCAAAACACAAAUUUCUGCCUUAAUCAAACGUCUACAAAACAUCUUAUCGAAUUCUGAAAUCUUGCUACUGCAGUUUCCCUAGAAUUCGCGAUGCUGUCCAACACGUCAUAAUGAGGUUGCAUGUACGGAGGUUGUGAUGCCGCAUUCCACAAUUAUUAUUAAUAUUAUUGUUAUUAUCAUUAUUAUUAUUAUUAUUAUUAUUAUUAUUAUUGUUAUUAUUAUUAUUAUUAUGGCUUUUCUGACAUAGUCCCUUUUCUGUCUCUUCUGUAACAAACAAAGGACUACGUAUCCUUCCUGCCGUCUAGCCCUGUCAUCCAUUCUCACUGAAAGGCUUCUCGAGUCUCUAGCCCUCGCUGCAGUGCCGAGCGCUUCGAUCCUGAUCAGUGAUUCUCAGGUGGCGAUACGCGGCUUCGCGCGCGGCCGCGUGUCGCGGGAAGCGGCCCGCAUACUCCAAAGGUGUGACGACGGCAGCUCGACAUCGCCCUCGCAACACCAAAAUUAUACGGUCUGCCUCCUCUGGACCCCGGCACACACCGACGUACCGCUCGUGGGCCACGAGGCGGCCCAUGCCGUGGCUCGAGGUCUCACACGCCGAGCCGCCGUAGAUUAUGUGGCCGCACCCGAGAGCGGGGCGUCGGAUCUGCCAGAUCGGGACACUAUACGACAAAAAACGCAGCAAGAACGAGAAUCACAAUGGGCAAUGGGCAUGGGACGAUUGCCUGACCACGUUCAGAGACCUCACCCAACACUACAGACUCGAAAGACGCACAUUCUCUUUACUGUACGAUACAUUAAACAGGAACGAGGCCGCAACCUUAUGCUUAUUGCAAACACACACCUACCCUAGCCCGGCUGUCUUACAUCACUGUUACCCAGUCAUAUACCCGACUGAAGCUUUUAAAGCGUGCAGACACAGAGCAACGCUGCGACACAGUGCUCUGUGAAUGUGCCGGCAACAACGGUACUAAAACCGCCACCGUUCGCGACGUGUCCAUAACGGCGACCGUUACCAGCGUGCAUGAAGCCUCGAGCUCGCUUCUUCACGACGCCGCCCCAAGUGCAGGGGCCGCCGAGGACCUUUUCCGUCGGGGUCGCCGCCGCUGAGAGGCGGCUUGCAGAAGUUCAUAGCUGGAAAACCAGCUCUAAGCCGUCUGGAAAGACGAAGAUGCCUCCCGAGUCCAAGAACUUCGAGCCGCCACUUGAGGCCAUCACAGCCAAAACUGCCGGACCAUUCUUGUUCUUGUUCCCUAGUGAAAUGGCACCACCCACUCUGGGGGAUCGACCAUGAAUCGGGCGGCAGAAGUGUCCUAGUGCCCACGCCCCAAGAGACAGUAUAACAGGGAGCGUAAUGCCCAAUCCAAGUGCCCAAUCCAUUCCAAGACGGUGAAGGCGCACCGAGCGGGCCGAGGAGGCAACGUGCCUGCCCCGAGGCUGUCGAGGCAGGUCGCGACCAUCUUCACAGCAGGCAGCCUCCACGGUGGCGUGCUGGCUUCCGCGAUUCCCGGUGGCAAGCUAUUGCAGGGUAACGCCGGGACAAGGCUCCAGGCGGCGCCGUUCCGGUGGUGCUGCGAGCUGUCUCGCCGUUGCUACCCAUACCAGGGCGGCCAGGUCCUUCAGCGCUCGAUAUGCGACCUGAAGGGGCUCUGGUUUAUCGGAGACUUCAUCGGUGACAGGUAGUGUGGGUCACUUCAAUUUUGCACACUAAAUGAAUUGAAAAAGACAGAAAAGCGCAUGGGGCGCCAGGAAAUGGCUCUAAAUGCUUGUUUAGCUGUUUCUGGUAAAAAUGCGUGGUCGUUCAGUUGCGGUGCAGUAUGGCUUCUAGAGAAAAAUAAAUCGUAAACGUCAACUAUCUAUGGAACGCGUAGCGCUAUUUGUGGAUUAUCAAAAAAAGCUCGACAGAGCUUGCUGAGCAAAUCGCGAUAUUUACGUGACAGAUUCAUCAAUUAAUCUGUUGUAAUGAUAGUUAGGACGAAUGUUUCAAUUGCGAAAUUCAAACGGAUUUGUAAUAAACCAACGUUGGCUUAGCUGAAAUCCUAAAAAAUUGCUCGAAUUUACAGAUAACCCCCCUAGCCUAAAAAAGAUUUCCUACAAAAUAUGUUGGCGCUACAAACUACUCCUGGCGCUCUUUUGGAAAAGUACGUAUGACGGCAGUGCAUUUAAUAGCAACGCUUGAAGGUAGCAUAUCAGAACAAUAGUGCUUGUCUUGCUACUUCUAAGAAAAGAUAAGUUAAAUAUUUUCUUGCCUUCGUUUAGCACGAAGUGACAUGUAAUUACAUAAACAAUAAAAAAAUAAUAUAUUCAUUUGACACUUGGAGUCGCAAUUGCUUAUAAAGGCGAUUUUCGCUUCUCCGACAAGUAUACCUGGAAAGGUUGAGUGGUGCCUGUCAUAAACGAUUUCUAAAACAAAAUAGUUUCCCACUAAAAAGAAUGAAAAUGGUGUUGCGAUUGGCGGUGAACAUUAAGAUGUAUAAUCGAGAGCAAAAGUGUAUGGGCUUAUGGUGCAAGGGAUUAUCAUUUGAAAAAAGGCGGUACCAGCUAAACCCAAAGGACGCGCACACAAGAAAGCGUUAGACACGGACGGACGCACUUCUGUUUCUUCACAGCCUCGGCAUGCGGGAUAGCCAAGGGGCGCGUCUUCGACCAAUGCAAUGCGUCGAAGCAAUUCCACGCUGCGGAGGUGUAGAACUUUGUCCGCUUAAUUGCGCUCAUAACAUUAGGUGGGUUAGUGCUCUCAUUUGCUUCUUCCUCCACGCUACAUACAUUAUAUCCUCGUCACCUUGCCCUCACCCUCAAUGUCGUCAAUGUCGCGCCGGGUUCCUGACACACCUUCAGCUGGCAAGAAUGUUUCCUCCCUCAACUCAACAUAUCGCGUGUAAAUAAUAAUUUGCUUGAUCCGCGAGUAAAAGGCGAAGAUAUAUUUCUCCACUACUAAACGAUAGCCAUAACGGGAUUUUUUUCCAUGAGCCAGGUAUGACCCAUCGGCAUUCAUCACAUAUGCGGGGCUGGUUAAGAGAUUGCACAGCCGAUUCACGAGUUCGCAAGGUUGCCGCUGUAAGGCUAGAUGCUUAUUGUUGGAUUUUUGCGAUAAAGUCCUGCACUUUGCCCUUAUUUGUGUAAAGACCAACAAAAAUGGAGCUUAUGCUAUAUCCAUAUUGUUAUGAUGGACACAUCAAAGGUCGCACAUGUCUGCACUGUCGUACAGUUUAACCAUUAACGUAAGCCUGUUUUAUUUCUUCAUGGAGUAGCUUGCAGCAAAUAUAGUGCAAGGAAACAUUGGCAACACCAAAUAACAAGGACGAAUGUGCCUGCGAUAGUACAUAAUGACACGUGCACUCAUUUCAUAACAUUUUCGCGUUCAAUUUGUUAAUGACGUUUCUGCCAAGUGCAUACUCAACGUAAAUAUUUGCUAUGAGAUGUAUAAAUAAAAAGUCAAGCGUCGGAUUUAUUGCAAUGUCGUGCCUGCAAAAUGUUUUGUUGUUCACGGGACACUGCAAAACUUACUGCCUCUACUGAGAGUGAAAUCUCAGUGUAUGGAAUUCAGUUGGGUAGGGUCAGAGAGCGAAUGUCCGCGCUAGCCCGCAUUCCACAUAUGGCACUGUUUCGUUUUACACCAUUAACACAGGCACGUGUUGUACGCGUGGUGUUUUUGGUCAACAUACUAAAGCGAAACGAAACAUUGUAUUUUUUAGUUAUUUCGUCCAGCACGUAACUGAAAACAGCAGCCCAAAUGAAUGCAAGGAAGGGCAAGCACCAUCCUCGUUUUCGUUUUUGCCUUUGUGUAACCUUCCGUUACGUGCUGGACGUAUUAAUGCAGAAUCAACUCUAGCAGGGCUUCAUCU
RNAcentral lists this long non-coding RNA (4686 nucleotides) under Dermacentor andersoni. RNAcentral's name for it is "uncharacterized LOC126540568". Lineage: Eukaryota; Metazoa; Arthropoda; Arachnida; Ixodida; Ixodidae. The record is from RNAcentral.